Molecule: ribosomal RNA, 690 nt
Filed under: uncultured Bacteroidales bacterium
Lineage: Bacteria; Pseudomonadati; Bacteroidota; Bacteroidia; Bacteroidales
Description: bacterial SSU rRNA
Rfam family: Bacterial small subunit ribosomal RNA
Source: RNAcentral
AACGCUAGCUACAGGCUUAACACAUGCAAGUCGAGGGGCAGCACAGUGUAGCAAUACACGGGUGGCGACCGGCGCACGGGUGCGUAACGCGUAUCCAACCUUCCCGAUACUCAGGGAUAGCCUUCCGAAAGGGAGAUUAAUACCUGAUGGUGUUCAAAUUCCGCAUGUUAUUUGAACUAAAGAUUUAUCGGUAUCGGAUGGGGAUGCGUGACAUUAGAUAGUAGGCGGGGUAACGGCCCACCUAGUCUACGAUGUCUAGGGGUUCUGAGAGGAAGGUCCCCCACACUGGAACUGAGACACGGUCCAGACUCCUACGGGAGGCAGCAGUGAGGAAUAUUGGUCAAUGGUCGGAAGACUGAACCAGCCAAGUAGCGUGAAGGAUGAAGGUUCUAUGGAUUGUAAACUUCUUUUAUACGGGAAUAAAACCACCUACGUGUAGGUGCUUGUAUGUACCGUAUGAAUAAGCAUCGGCUAACUCCGUGCCAGCAGCCGCGGUAAUACGGAGGAUGCGAGCGUUAUCCGGAUUUAUUGGGUUUAAAGGGAGCGUAGACGGGAUGUUAAGUCAGUUGUGAAAGGCUGCGGCUCAACCGCAGCACUGCAGUUGAUACUGGCGUCCUUGAGUGCGGUUGAGGUGUAUGGAAUUCGUGGUGUAGCGGUGAAAUGCUUAGAUAUCACGAAGAACUCCGAUUG